Molecule: ribosomal RNA, 275 nt
Filed under: uncultured bacterium
Lineage: Bacteria
Description: partial 16S ribosomal RNA
Rfam family: Bacterial small subunit ribosomal RNA
Source: RNAcentral
CCUACGGGUGGCUGCAGUGGGGAAUAUUGGACAAUGGGGGAAACCCUGAUCCAGCCAUGCCGCGUGAGUGAUGAAGGCUUUAGGGUUGUAAAGCUCUUUCGCCGAUGAAGAUAAUGACGGUAGUCGGAGAAGAAGCCCCGGCUAACUUCGUGCCAGCAGCCGCGGUAAUACGAAGGGGGCUAGCGUUGUUCGGAAUUACUGGGCGUAAAGCGCGCGUAGGUUGCUUAGCAAGUCAGGGGUGAAAUCCCGGAGCUUAACUCCGGAACUGCCUUUGA